RNAcentral lists this ribosomal RNA (465 nucleotides) under uncultured bacterium. Its description in RNAcentral is "partial 16S ribosomal RNA". It matches the Rfam family "Bacterial small subunit ribosomal RNA", at positions 28 to 507 of the family's 1533-position model. The record is from RNAcentral.
GACGAACGCUGGCGGCGUGCUUAACACAUGCAAGUCGAACGGAAAGGCCCUGCUUGCGGGGUGCUCGCGUGGCGAACGGGUGAGUAACACGUGGGUGUUCUGCGCUGCACUUCGGGAUAUGCCUGGAAAACUGGGUCUAAUACCGGAUAGGAGCCAUCUUGAGGGUGAGGGUUGGAAAGUUUUUUCGGUUUGGGAUGAGACUACGGCCUAUCAGGUUGUUGGUGGGGUAAUGGCCUACCCAGGCGGCGACGGGGAGCCGGCCGGGGAGGGUGGACGGGCACAAUGGGGCUGGGAUACGGGCCAGACCCCCACGGGGGGGAGGAGGGGGGGAGUUUGGACAAAGGGGGGGAGCCCGAAGGAGGGACGCCGGGGGGGGGAAGACGGGCUUUGGGUUGGAAAAGCGCUUCGGUAGGGGAGGAGGCUUGUGUGACGGUACCGAGAUAAGAAGCACCGGCUAACUACGUG